CCUACGGGGGGCUGCAGUGGGGAAUUUUGGACAAUGGGGGCAACCCUGAUCCAGCCAUUCCGCGUGAGUGAAGAAGGCCUUCGGGUUGUAAAGCUCUUUCGCAAGGGAAGAAAACUUACUCAAUAACACUGGGUGAGGCUGACGGUACCUUGAUAAGAAGCACCGGCUAACUACGUGCCAGCAGCCGCGGUAAUACGUAGGGAGCGACCGUUAAUCGGAAUUACUGGGGCGGUUUCGUAAGCAGGCGGUGAAAUCCCCGGGCUCAACCUGGGAACUGCGUUUGAAACUACAAGGCUAGAGUAUGGCAGAGGGGGGUAGAAUUCCACGUGUAGCAGUGAAAUGCGUAGAGAUGUGGAGGAAUACCAAUGGCGAAGGCAGCCCCCUGGGUCAAUACUGACGCUCAUGCACGAAAGCGUGGGGAGCAAACAGGAUUAGAUACCCCGGUAGUC
Molecule: ribosomal RNA, 449 nt
Filed under: uncultured bacterium
Lineage: Bacteria
Description: partial 16S ribosomal RNA
Rfam family: Bacterial small subunit ribosomal RNA
Source: RNAcentral